RNAcentral lists this transfer RNA (66 nucleotides) under Heterocypris spadix. Its description in RNAcentral is "tRNA-Tyr". The record is from RNAcentral. Lineage: Eukaryota; Metazoa; Arthropoda; Ostracoda; Podocopida; Cyprididae.
GGUAAAAUGGCUGACUAAUAGGCGGUAGAUUGUAAAUCUUCUUAUGGGAGAGCCCCCCUUUUAUCA